UUUUAAGAUAAGCUAAUUUUUUAAGCUUUUGGGCUCAUAACUCAAAUAUGAUUUUUCUCUUAAA
This 64-nucleotide transfer RNA is filed under the name Biomphalaria glabrata. RNAcentral describes it as "tRNA-Met". The record is from RNAcentral. Lineage: Eukaryota; Metazoa; Mollusca; Gastropoda; Planorbidae.